CCUACGGGAGGCAGCAGUGAGGAAUAUUGGUGAAUGGACGAGAGUCUGAACCAGCCAAGUAGCGUGAAGGAUGACUGCCCUAUGGGUUGUAAACUUCUUUUAUAGGGGAAUAAAAAGUGCCACGUGUGGGAUGUGGUAUGUACCAGAGGAAUAAGGAUCGGCUAACUCCGUGCCAGCAGCCGCGGUAAUACGGAGGAUCCGAGCGUUAUCCGGAUUUAUUGGGUUUAAAGGGAGCGUAGGUGGAUUGUUAAGUCCGUUGUGACAGUUUGCGGCUCAACCCUCAAAUUGCCGUUGAAACUGGCAUUCUUGAGUCCAGUAGAGGUGGGCGGAAUUCGUGGUGUAGCGGU
Molecule: ribosomal RNA, 347 nt
Filed under: uncultured bacterium
Lineage: Bacteria
Description: partial 16S ribosomal RNA
Rfam family: Bacterial small subunit ribosomal RNA
Source: RNAcentral